This is a long non-coding RNA of Phragmites australis (common reed), 1364 nucleotides long. RefSeq lists it as uncharacterized. Lineage: Eukaryota; Viridiplantae; Streptophyta; Magnoliopsida; Poales; Poaceae. The transcript has 7 exons. The record is from RefSeq and is a predicted model, not a curated record.
UGUGAGACGACACACUUGAUCCAACGGCUGUACAUCCACUGUGGCGCGAUCGGACGGCUGCAGGUUUCUCCCGUUCGUCCGAGAGUAUCGCUCGCAUCAUCGCCAAAGAAACCCUCGCCUCUCGGCCGCCGCCCUCCGGUCCGGGAGUCCAUCCGUCCACUGGAGCAUGCCGCCUCGAGCUCUUCCCUCGCAGUCGCCGACGUUAGAUGAUGAAAUGUAAGUUUGUCUUGGUUUGACUCUUAAAGUUGGCAGUAUGAAUGCCCAUGGCAAUUCAAAUCUGAUGUAUCUUCCAGAUGUAGAUUAAAUAGUGGCUACUUACCACUAAUAAAGAAGUAUUUCUAGCGUGAGAUGUAUUUUUGACCGUCGAAAAUUCAAUUCAUGUACAAUGAUUGACACGGAGUAUUUUGGAUCAACUUCAGACAAUAAGGUACUGGGUGGUUUUGCUGCUCAGCUGAUUGUUGUUGCUGGCUUUGGAGGUUUGGUUAGUUCUGGUGUGAUUUGUUCGUGGGUUUUUGUACUUGGUGCCAAGACGGAGGUCGGUGGGUGUGGGAUGAGGUACAUACUUGUGGUGCAACUCUACUUUGAAUGCUUAGCCAUAGUCCAAGACUCUUGAAGACCUGAAGGAUUUCAUUCCAUAUGAUACCCAAUGAGGCGGAAUUCUUAUUGUUUGGAGAUAUAGGCUUGUAGGCAAACAAGUUCAGACAGGCAUGGCUAAGGGCAGAUUGAAAGUUGAUGGUCUUCCAAGUGAAAUUGCUCCAACUGUCGCAGAGAAUGCGAAGACCAAACCUCCAUCAGCUGCCUCUUCAAAGUCCGGAUUGGAUAAAGAACUUUCUCCAUGUGAUAUUAGAUUUGUGAUCAAGGAGGGCAGCGUGAAGGGAAGAAGAGCUAGGCGUCACUGAAGCUUGGCACAGGUGUGAGUUUGCUUUGUGCGUUUUGGUACAUCCAGAAUACUAUCUUGUGUGGGCAUGGCCUAUUUUGACAAUAUAGCUCUGCUUAUCAUCUCUGUUUGAUAGACAAUAUUAGGAUGGAAGUAUUGUAGGGUUUGGCCUAUAGGGAGCAGGUCAGGUGUUUGAUGAAUUACCAUGGGAGCAUGCGAUUAUGAAAGUGAUCAUCCUAUGGCGUGGAUAUGGCUUCUUGUCUAGCAGAUUCACUGCUGAUUGGCACUUGCUGAGUCGAAGUUUCUUCUUCGUAAUCGGUUUUAGUUCUUCUUGUAUACCUCUAUAAAGGUGUGGUGGUCAGGUUUAGUCCAUGCUGCCUGCCUCUUUUGGUCUUGCUUUUGUUGAGUUUGAUGUCUUAUGCCGAAAUCAACUUAUUUUAUGAAACAAAUUGUAAUAAUUGUGCAGAUAGGAAUAAAUAGGAUCCUU